UACGUAGGGGGCUAGCGUUGUCCGGAAUCAUUGGGCGUAAAGCGCGUGUAGGCGGUCCGGUAAGUCCGCUGUGAAAGUCGGGGGGCUCAACCCUCGGAUGCCGGUGGAGUACUGUCGGGCUUGAGUACGGAAGAGGCGAGUGGAAUUCCUGGUGUAGCGGGUGAAAAUGCGCAGAUAUCAGGAGGAACACCAAUUGCGAAGGCAGCUCGCUGGGACGUUACUGACGCUGAGACGCGAAGC
Molecule: ribosomal RNA, 240 nt
Filed under: uncultured bacterium
Lineage: Bacteria
Description: partial 16S ribosomal RNA
Rfam family: Bacterial small subunit ribosomal RNA
Source: RNAcentral